This 2200-nucleotide unclassified non-coding RNA is filed under the name Dimorphilus gyrociliatus. RNAcentral's name for it is "hypothetical protein". Lineage: Eukaryota; Metazoa; Annelida; Polychaeta; Dinophilidae. The record is from RNAcentral.
UUAUUAUCUUAUUAUAGUUAUCUAACCUAUACUGAUAGUUAGAGAACUAAACCGAUAUCGUUAUCGCAUGGUAAUUUCUAGUAUUCUACUAAAUAUUAUAUUCAAUUUUUCCAGUUUUCAUCAUUUAUUUUUUAUUUGUAACUGCUAAAUAAGAAUUGACGAAUCUAGGUUGAUAUUCGUAUAAUUCUUAACAAACUAGUCAUUUGGGAUAAUUGAAAUAACUAGUAGUUUGGUACAGUUGAAACGCCGAACAUCUAAAAAUUUAUGGUUAUUCUUUUUUUUUGAAUGAAAAACCGAUUGGUAUCGAGUUCACACAUCCGCCAUUGUUUCUAACAUUUUUUUUUGCAUAGAGUAUUGUAACCAAGUGAUUGAAUAGCUGUAGUUGUGCAUGCGGCUUUAAUGAAUGUAUAAAUUGUAAAUAUAAUGUUUAAACAUACAUAUAUGAACAGGUGUCAGUCCUAGAUUCGUCAAUUCUUGUCAGACUGGCUUUUUUGCAGAGGUAUACUUCUAACAUUUACGCAACAUCGUUUGGCAGACGCAGUAAAAGAUAAUGGCUUAGAGGGCAGAUUUAGCAUCCUCAGAUAGAUUAUAGGACAUUCAUCAUUCUUAUUUUGUUGCUGUAAUUUUGUUCUGAAUGUCUAUUAAGGUUUAUGGAUAUGUCUCUUUUAAGUUAUACUUAAAAACUAAAAAUAUAUUUGUAGUUGAUUUAAUUAUUUUUCUUCUACCUUAGCUCUGAAAGAUGAUUUGUGGAGCUAUUAAAAAGUAUACCUCUUUGCUCUUAUUUCUUGUGCCAAUUGCAUUAUUUCUCUGUUUAAAACGGAUUAAAGAAAAUAAAAUUAUAGAAGAUCUAUUCGUCAAAGAAAAACUUAUACCAAAGUAUCUUGUUAAGGAGAUUGACUGUUCCAGGAUUUUUAAUAAAGAUUACCACUAUAUUGAUCAUUUGAUUUCGUUAGAGAAAGAAUCAAAUUUAUCUUUUAAACAGAAGAGCGAUAGUGAAUAUGCAGAAGUUGAAAGUAACUGUGAAAAUUAUAGGAAAUCCUUUGUUACUGAUUAUCUAAGUUAUGAAGAGGCGAGUUUCCCUAUUGCAUUUCAAAUUGUUAUGUAUAAGGAUGUUGCUCAAUUAGAGAUCUUAUUAAAGGAAAUAUAUAGACCCCAGAAUGAAUACUGCAUCCAUGUUGAUAGGAAAUCUAACAUUGACAUUCAAUACGGUGUAAGAUCUAUUGCGAAAUGCUUUAGUAACAUUGAAGUCAUUGAUCCCAUUGAUUCUGUUGAUGUACGUUGGUCUAAAUUCACUAAUUUGGAGCCAGAAAUAAUAUGUGCUAGAAACUUAUGGAAAAGAAAAACCAAAUGGAAAUAUCUUAUAAACUUGACAGGUCAAGAAUUUCCUCUUCAAACUAUGUACGAUAUUGUUCAAAUUCUCAAAGCUUUUAAUGGUUCAAAUAGUAUACAAGGAACAGUUAAAGGUAUUAUUAAGAGUAGGUUCGAAGGGGUGAAAGAUUUUGGCCGAAAUGUAGUUGUCAUGAAGGGAGCAGUACAUAUUAUUGCUCAAAGAGGAUAUAUCGAUUAUAUUCUUCAUAAUAAAACUGCUAUCGAUUUCCUCUCAUGGGUUAGGCAAGUUAAACAUCCAGAUGAAACAUAUUUCGCUAGUUUAAAUCAUAGUCCGAAACUUAAAGUUCCUGGUUCGUAUCUGGGAAAAGUCGAUAGUUCAGACUAUCCUUUUUUGACGAGAUACAAAAACUGGAAGCAGAAUGGUGAAUAUUGCUAUGGAAAGAGAGUGCGUUCAAUAUGUAUAUUUGGCAUGAAGGAUAUUCCAGCUCUUAGUACCCUAGAUUAUAUAUUUGCUAAUAAAUUUCAUAUAAAUUAUCAACCUUAUGCUCUACAAUGCAUGGCCGAACUUAUAAGAAAUAGAACUAUUUACCAACAUAUUGGAUUGAGAAAAUUUGAUGUUCAACUAUAUAAAAAUCUCGAUAUGUCUCAUAAUCAUUAUGGACCAAACGUAUAAUGAGGAUGGCUUGCACACUAAUCAAAUCUAUUGAACAUUUCCAACAUUUUAUCAUUAUGUACUUGUCUAAUUCUUUCAUCAAUUCUCUUUUCGUAAGGUGUAUUUUUAAAAAUUCUACUUUUAGCUUCAACGUCAUUCUUAUAUACUUUAUAAAGGAUUUUACUGUAUAUGGUAAAUCCUCAUUUUUAGUUCAAUACG